Molecule: ribosomal RNA, 444 nt
Filed under: Micrococcus luteus
Lineage: Bacteria; Bacillati; Actinomycetota; Actinomycetes; Micrococcales; Micrococcaceae
Description: bacterial SSU rRNA
Rfam family: Bacterial small subunit ribosomal RNA
Source: RNAcentral
GAUGAACGCUGGCGGCGUGCUUAACACAUGCAAGUCGAACGAUGAAGCCCAGCCUGCUGGGCGGAUUAGUGGCGAACGGGUGAGUAACACGUGAGUAACCUGCCCUUGACUCUGGGAUAAGCCCGGGAAACUGGGUCUAAUACCGGAUAGGAGCGCCUGUCGCAUGACGGGUGCUGGAAAGAUUUUUCGGUCAUGGAUGGACUCGCGGCCUAUCAGCUUGUUGGUGAGGUAACGGCUCACCAAGGCGACGACGGGUAGCCGGCCUGAGAGGGUGACCGGCCACACUGGGACUGAGACACGGCCCAGACUCCUACGGGAGGCAGCAGUGGGGAAUAUUGCACAAUGGGCGGAAGCCUGAUGCAGCGACGCCGCGUGAGGGAUGACGGCCUUCGGGUUGUAAACCUCUUUCAGUAGGGAAGAAGCGAAAGUGACGUACCUGCAGAG